GGUUUAAUUAAAAAUUUGAUUUGCAUUCAGAAAUAAGACAAUAAGUCUUUAAAUCA
RNAcentral lists this transfer RNA (56 nucleotides) under Cipangopaludina chinensis. RNAcentral's name for it is "tRNA-Ala". Lineage: Eukaryota; Metazoa; Mollusca; Gastropoda; Architaenioglossa; Viviparidae. The record is from RNAcentral.